Long non-coding RNA from Cyprinus carpio carpio, 1550 nucleotides. Lineage: Eukaryota; Metazoa; Chordata; Actinopteri; Cypriniformes; Cyprinidae. The record is from Ensembl.
GGGGGUGGGGGGCAAUGAACAGGUGCAUUAAGAUUGUCAAAAAGCAUCGGCGCUGAUAGCCUUUCCCAAUCCUACUUCACUUCCUAUCGGAUCUAAACUGUCCUAUCAUAAUAAAGGAACCAAAAAUAAAUCUUACAAAGAUUGCAUACAGAUUUGGAAUGGUGAUUUUAGAAAGGUCAACUAUUUCUUUAAAUCUUCAAAUGGUUCAAAGUACUGAUAGUCACAGAGCCUGAGACUUCCAUGAAAUCAGACCUCCGUCAUUCCAUUUUCCCCUCGAUGGCAUCAGGUUUCUCCAGCGGGAUUGUUGUUGAUUUUAAACCUUUCAAAUAAACCAGCAGUAUGUGUGUUUGUCCGUUCAUUCGUUCGAGUGUGUUCGUUUGUGCACCUGCUGCUGAGCCCAGUUGGCAUCAUGGCAACAAGACUGAGAGAUUGCUGUGGAAUCUUCACCAAAGAUGUCAAUUUCUUUUCCUUUUGAAGCAUUUAAACCAGCGGAGACUAUUUUUUAAAAGACAAGAAGGUUAUUGGUGCAAAGAUUGUUCAGCAUUUUACAGUUCUGCCUUGUUUGAGUUUUGUUCGUUCACUCACUAAUGUAUUUUUGUUUUUAAUGUGUGCAUUUGAGUUGGAUCAGUCAGGACUGAAUUUGGGACGCACUCUUCAUUAUUCUCAGUAUUCUGGUACACGGUGGAUGCACUGCUGUAAAUAUAUUUUGACCCUCUCCGAUGCUGUUACAGUAGACUCCUUCCAUAUGUAUUACUAAUUUUCAUUUUUCACCCAAAAAGCAACAUGCAUUUUGGUUUUAAGAUCUUUACUCUAAAUACCAGGGCAGCCGUGUCCUUGCAGAGUGCUGUAAUGUAUUUCUGACGGACCUGUAUGAGCAUAUGGGGAUUUGCAGUACUGUAAUGAUUAAUGACUGUAGACUUUGACUGCCUUUUGCUCUAAUGGAAGCGAUUACAGACUGAAAUUAAUGAGCAUAGUCGGUUCUGCAUAAAUGUGGCUCAGCAAAAAGUAGCUCUUUCUGCUGGUGACACUUUUCAAGGACGGGACACUUUUGGGAUUUUUUUCUUUAAAAAGAAAAAAGGCUUUUCUUUUGCAUCAUCCUAAUUUCAUCUUCGCCUUCUCUUCUGCUGCCGUCUUCAGUUAUGGGGGAUUUUGAUGGCGUGAGACGCCAGUUGAUGAUGUCACGAUUUUUUCCUGUUUAUGUUUGUUUAUUUUUUUCCUUUUGGGAAUCUGAGCCGUGUCUUAGCGAAGAGUCCUCCUGACUUUCGUCCUCCUGGUCCUGGUCAGCCCGUUUCUAAACGUCUUGUGAUUUGGUGACUGUACAGUGGAGUCCGGCGGUGGUCCAGCUCGGUCUCAACACGAUCUUGGUCCACCCCGUCUUUUGCCUGUCCUUCGUAAUAUCCACAUGGGUCACCUGCAUGAGCUACUUCACCGAAGCUGCACCCAGCAUGACGACAUAAGGACUUGUAUGUAGAAAAAAGGAACAAAAAAUAGAUCUAUAUAUACAUAAACAGAAAAAAAAGCGAGAAAGGAAUAAAAAAGAUCUUAGUUUA